Molecule: ribosomal RNA, 608 nt
Filed under: uncultured bacterium
Lineage: Bacteria
Description: bacterial SSU rRNA
Rfam family: Bacterial small subunit ribosomal RNA (bases 1-516)
Source: RNAcentral
CCUACGGGAGGCAGCAGUGGGGAAUAUUGGACAAUGGGGGCAACCCUGAUCCAGCCAUGCCGCGUGAGUGAUGACGGCCUUAGGGUUGUAAAGCUCUUUUCUCCGGGACGAUAAUGACGGUACCGGAGGAAUAAGCCCCGGCUAACUUCGUGCCAGCAGCCGCGGUAAUACGAAGGGGGCUAGCGUUGCUCGGAAUCACUGGGCGUAAAGGGCGCGUAGGCGGCUGACUUAGUCGAGGGUGAAAGCCCGUGGCUCAACCACGGAAUGGCCUUCGAUACUGGUUGGCUUGAGACCGGAAGAGGACAGCGGAACUGCGAGUGUAGAGGUGAAAUUCGUAGAUAUUCGCAAGAACACCAGUGGCGAAGGCGGCUGUCUGGUCCGGUUCUGACGCUGAGGCGCGAAAGCGUGGGGAGCAAACAGGAUUAGAUACCCUGGUAGUCCACGCUGUAAACGAUGAAUGCUAGCCGUUGGUCUGCAUGCAGGUCAGUGGCGCCGCUAACGCAUUAAGCNUCCGCCGUGGGAGGUACGGUCGCGAGAAGUUAAAACUAACUAAAGAAAGUUAGACGGUCGUUGAGAGUUGCCGACGGACGACCGACGAGGGGAGGAGG